Molecule: long non-coding RNA, 199 nt
Organism: Etheostoma cragini (Arkansas darter)
Lineage: Eukaryota; Metazoa; Chordata; Actinopteri; Perciformes; Percidae
Exons: 2
Source: RefSeq, a predicted model, not a curated record
UAGAGCACAAACCACUGUGGUAAUUUUUAAAUCAAUUAUUCAAGCUGAAAAUACUUAUAUUUAUGGGACUCUCUGUACCCCUUGGUUUCAAGUAAGCUCUGGACUUUGCUUGGUUUUAAGGGGGUAUGUAGCCCUUCCCCUUAGCCCAACCCCUUGAUCAAAAGAAAUAUUGGGAUAGCCCUUCCUCUCAUGUGAACGU